GCUAGGCAUGGUGGUGUAUGCCUGUAAUCCCAACAACUCAGAGGUUGAGGCAGGAGGGUCAUAAGUUCAAGGCCAGACUCAGUAACAUAAUGAGGCCCUAAGCAUCUUAGUGAGACCUUGUCUUAA
This 126-nucleotide small RNA is filed under the name Marmota monax (woodchuck). The record is from RNAcentral. Lineage: Eukaryota; Metazoa; Chordata; Mammalia; Rodentia; Sciuridae.